CCCUUAGAUGUUCUGGGCCGCACGCGUGCUACACUGAGUGGAUCAGCGGGUCAGGUUGCGCGAAAGUGUUUCCUAAUCUUUAAAUCCGCUCGUGAUGGGGAUUGACGGUUGCAAUUUUCCGUCAUGAACGAGGAAUACCUUGUAAGCGCGGGUCAUCAUCCCGCGCUGAAUACGUCCCUGCCCUUUGUACACACCGCCCGUCGCUCCUACCGAUUGAGUGGUCCGGUGAGGCUUUGGGAUCUGAGCGGAAAGAGCGUUUCGCUGUUUCUGCCCGGAAAACUCAGUCGAACCUUAUCAUUUAGAGGAAGGAGAAGUCGUAGCA
Molecule: ribosomal RNA, 322 nt
Filed under: uncultured eukaryote
Lineage: Eukaryota
Description: partial 18S ribosomal RNA
Rfam family: Eukaryotic small subunit ribosomal RNA
Source: RNAcentral